This is a long non-coding RNA of Homo sapiens (human), 527 nucleotides long. The record is from Ensembl. Lineage: Eukaryota; Metazoa; Chordata; Mammalia; Primates; Hominidae.
GGUCUAGGCUUGGGAGGAAGAUGGUGAGUGCCGUCAGCAUGUCAAGAUCAGGGUGAGCCCACUGCCCAUGCCCAGCACACUUGGGCCCACAGGAUGGCAGCCGCAGGACCGGGCCCCUAUGCCAGCCCCUGUCACUGUUGCCUAGUGGGCUGCGUGGGGGCUGCCGGCUGGGGUCACGGGCACUUCCCUGUGGCUCACAUUGAGGCCCUUUCAAGGUCACUGCCCGGUCUCCACGGCAUGGGCAAGGCUUGCUGGAGCCUCACGCUGAGACCCUGCACCAGGCACUGCACCGGUGCACCUGCUGCCCUGGACUCACCUGGCACGGCUUCUGCAGUCUGCAGACAGUUUUGUCUGAAGGUGGCCGGUGGGCCUUUGCCUGGCAGUGGCAACCCCUGGGUCAGCUGGCUUAUUGGUCCCGGGGACCCCGCCGACACUGUUAGCUGUCUCUGAGCUUCUGAGUGACUCUCACAUGAGCAUCUCACGCCCCACGUGGUGGAGCCGCCAGCACUGUCCCUCCGUGGCGCGUG